GGUUAAGCGACUAAGCGUACACGGUGGAUGCCCUGGCAGUCAGAGGCGAUGAAGGGCGUGCUAAUCUGCGAUAAGCGCCGGUAAGGUGAUAUGAACCGUUAUAACCGGCGAUACCCGAAUGGGGAAACCCAGUGUGAUU
This 139-nucleotide ribosomal RNA is filed under the name Salmonella enterica subsp. enterica serovar Derby. Its description in RNAcentral is "partial 23S ribosomal RNA". It matches the Rfam family "Bacterial large subunit ribosomal RNA", at positions 1 to 138 of the family's 2925-position model. RNAcentral also lists the same sequence under 8 other names. Lineage: Bacteria; Pseudomonadati; Pseudomonadota; Gammaproteobacteria; Enterobacterales; Enterobacteriaceae. The record is from RNAcentral.